UACGAAGGGGGCUAGCGUUGCUCGGAAUCACUGGGCGUAAAGGGUGCGUAGGCGGGUCUUUAAGUCAGGGGUGAAAUCCUGGAGCUCAACUCCAGAACUGCCUUUGAUACUGAAGAUCUUGAGUCCGGAAGAGGUGAGUGGAACUCCGAGUGUAGAGGUGAAAUUCGUAGAUAUUCGGAAGAACACCAGUGGCGAAGGCGGCUCACUGGUCCGGUACUGACGCUGAUGUGCGAAAGCGUGGGGAGCAAACAGG
RNAcentral lists this ribosomal RNA (253 nucleotides) under uncultured bacterium. RNAcentral describes it as "partial 16S ribosomal RNA". It matches the Rfam family "Bacterial small subunit ribosomal RNA", at positions 524 to 776 of the family's 1533-position model. The record is from RNAcentral.